Molecule: long non-coding RNA, 464 nt
Organism: Hipposideros armiger (great roundleaf bat)
Lineage: Eukaryota; Metazoa; Chordata; Mammalia; Chiroptera; Hipposideridae
Exons: 3
Source: RefSeq, a predicted model, not a curated record
UCGAGUCUGGCUGCGCUGGCGAUUUGGGCCGUUGGACCUCGAAGUGGUGUAGGGCUCAGGCGAUGCCCAGGCUCCCCGAGCCCAGCGAGGGAGUAUAUCCUAUUGAAGAAAUACAGUGAAGAUAUUGUGUUCCAAACUCAGUUGUAAUAAUUUUUUUCUCAGUGUGGUGAAGACAACAAUGCCAGCUUGAUCGGGAAUCAGGCUGGCACAUCACUGGGAGAGUGAAGAAACUUAUGCAUUUGCCACUGUGGAGAGCCAGCUGUGUCAGUCUUGUGAUUAAAAUGCUCCUUGAGGAGCUAGAGGAGUUUGUCUUCUAGUGGGAGGACAGACGUGUGUACACCAAUAAUUCUCAGGCAGUGUGACAAGUGCUGUGUGAGCUGCUCGAGGAAGGAGGGACAUCUUUGCAUUGCCUGGGAACGCCUAGGGAAUGGGAGAUGAUUGACAUCUUGAAGGUGAGGAGAUAC